CUAGUCCUCAGCUAGUUUCUUGCAUGUGCGGAGCCCAUCUAAUUUAACGUUAUUGAUUUAGCUAACGUUAACUGUUAGCUAACUUACCGUUACUGUUCCUCAGCAUGUUACCGGAAAAUAGCUAGCCGAACAGUUAACGCUACAAAACGUUUUAAUAUAUCAUUUAUAUAACAUGUAUAACAUUAAACUAUAUAUUUGUAACUUACUUUCUAUCUUGGUAGUGUUAUAAAAUGCUCAACAACGAAUAGUUACUUAACGUUGGCUACAUCAAAUCAAGUGUUAAGUCCCUCUUUUCCAAAUCUCCAGUCCAACGUCUGCAUCUCAUUUUGAACCUAAUUUGAAUAUGAUGACCAUGCUUUUCUAUUGAUGUCACUAAGCCAUCUGACAGACCAAUAGACGUGACUUUGAAAAACCCAUCUCGACACUUGAUCCCACCUACUCGGCUCACUUGCCUCCCAUUGGAAAGGACAGGAUGUGGUCUAUUUUAGUAGAACAUCUUUGGUAUUACUGAAUGACAACAAUAUAGCCUUGUUCACUACUAGUUGGCAAGUUGGUUGAUAUGGGGUGCAGUAGGCUAGCGUCGUUGUUAUUCAUUGGGUCCCUUGACAAAAUUAUGUUAUUUUUGACUUGGUAAAAUAAGCUAAUGGUUGUGUGCACUCUCACUAGAUAGAAUUGUGUGGUUUGGUGGCAGAUUGUCAUAAGAAAAUAGACAUAUACUGUAUAUCAUCAGCAAUUCUCAAUCAGAUGAGAUACACAGCUAACCCAUAUUGCAUUUCAUUCAUUCAUAAAUGUGGACACUAAUUAUUGUUAAUAUUCCAAUUCUCUAGGCCCUCUAUUCCCAACCCUGAAGCCCCCUGUCCCCAGCAGGAAAGACCAGGAAAAAGUGUUGGCUUAACUUCCUAUUGAGGAAAUAUCUGCCAACCUGCUCGGCGGGUGACAGGUAACCGUCUUUCCACCAAGCUGUUCCAGGCCUGGAGUGGCACGCUGGAACUUCCAGAGGCUUGUAGACCAGAAGCAGUUUGUUGUGGUCCAGAUUUGACACCCCUAUUAGCUCAACCACAGUCUUCACAGCUGCAGUCGUCUGCCCCUGCGUCUGCUACCCCGGGCCACGACAGGUGAUACAGAUGGAGAAUGUCCUCCUCUAACAGUGGCGAUGGUGUUGGAGUUUUCUGGCAACGGUGGUGCCACCCCUUGGGUUUGAGGACACCCCGACCAUCGAAUUCCUCCACACAGCGCGAGGGCGUCUCACUGGGCAGCAGAAGAAAAAGUACCCAGAGGCAAACACGUGUGCUGUGACACUAAGGCUCCCUCUUCAUAGCACCUACAAUGCCUUUAGGGAAUUCAUGACCUCCGGUAUUGUGAAUUCCCCACAUUUCGGUGUUGCAUAAAAACAUUUUUACGAUACAUAAUUGUAUCUAGUAGCACUAAAUUACAGUAGCAAUUGAGUGUUUGAAAAUGUAACUGCACAUCAACAUUUAAACAUUUAUCUACUUACAUCUGUAUUGUUUGUACAGUGCAUUCGGAACGUAUUCAGACCCCUUGACUU
This is a long non-coding RNA of Salvelinus sp. IW2-2015, 1546 nucleotides long. RefSeq lists it as uncharacterized. Lineage: Eukaryota; Metazoa; Chordata; Actinopteri; Salmoniformes; Salmonidae. The record is from RefSeq and is a predicted model, not a curated record.